UUUCAGAGUAGUAUGCUUAACUGUUGUCACAUGUCAAACACUGAACGUUAAUUCAGCACAGCUGUGAAGGUUGUUACCUUACAAACAAUUGUGCUAACCGUUCAUUUUACUAAAGCUUCAUAGUAAACGAUGCUAUAUUGACCA
Long non-coding RNA from Sinocyclocheilus rhinocerous, 144 nucleotides. RefSeq lists it as uncharacterized. NCBI's taxonomy places the organism in Eukaryota, Metazoa, Chordata, Actinopteri, Cypriniformes, Cyprinidae. The record is from RefSeq and is a predicted model, not a curated record. The transcript is spliced from 3 exons.